GACAGAGGGUGCAAACGUUGCUCGGAAUUACUGGGCGUAAAGCGCGUGUAGGCGGUUCCGCAAGUCAGGUGUGAAAGCCCAGGGCUCAACCCUGGAAGUGCACUUGAUACUACGGAGCUUGAGUACUGAAGAGGAGAGCGGAAUUCCCGGUGUAGAGGUGAAAUUCGUAGAUAUCGGGAGGAACACCAGUGGCGAAGGCGGCUCUCUGGGCAGAUACUGACGCUGAGACACGAAAGUGUGGGGAGCGAACAGG
RNAcentral lists this ribosomal RNA (253 nucleotides) under uncultured bacterium. RNAcentral's name for it is "partial 16S ribosomal RNA". It matches the Rfam family "Bacterial small subunit ribosomal RNA", at positions 524 to 776 of the family's 1533-position model. The record is from RNAcentral.